Molecule: microRNA precursor, 59 nt
Filed under: Panagrellus redivivus
Lineage: Eukaryota; Metazoa; Nematoda; Chromadorea; Rhabditida; Panagrolaimidae
Description: microRNA prd-mir-7904 precursor
Source: miRBase by way of RNAcentral
UCGACGCGGCUAAAUUUUUGCAGACUUACGGAAACUCUCAAAAAUUCCGUUGCGUCGUG